RNAcentral lists this ribosomal RNA (453 nucleotides) under Lachancea thermotolerans. RNAcentral's name for it is "RNase P RNA". Lineage: Eukaryota; Fungi; Ascomycota; Saccharomycetes; Saccharomycetales; Saccharomycetaceae. The record is from RNAcentral.
UUAUAUAUAUAAUAUACAUAUUAUAUUUAUAGGAAAGUCAUAAAUAUACAAAUUAAAAUAUAUCUAUAUUUUAUAAUAAAGUAAUUAAUAUAAAUAAUAAAUAUAAUCUUAUUUCCCCCCCCUUAUUUUGUUUGUGGGGAGUUGGGGGAUAAGUAAGUAUAUAAUUAUACUUAAUUUUGUUAUUAACAUAUAACAAAAUAUAUAUGGAAAUUAAAAGCUUAAUAUAUAUAUAUCAUAAUAUUAAUAUUUCUUUAAUACCUUUCAUACGUAUAAAGGAAAAAAUUAAACUAUUAAAGAGAUAAAUAUGAGUGAAAUAUAUAGUAAUAUAUCACAAUUUAACCUAUCUUCCCCAUCCCAUGUAUUAUAAAAAUGUUUAUAAAAGGAAAGGUAAAAAAAAUAUAAUUACUAUACAAAAAUAUGCUUAAAUAUAUAAUAUAUAUAUUAUAUAUAUAA